This 720-nucleotide unclassified non-coding RNA is filed under the name Hevea brasiliensis (rubber tree). The record is from RNAcentral. Lineage: Eukaryota; Viridiplantae; Streptophyta; Magnoliopsida; Malpighiales; Euphorbiaceae.
AUUUUAGGACGAGAAUUACCUUACGCGAUUAUCAGAAUUAAAAAUAAGAAGAGUCCCCCAAAGGCCUUCAUCCGUUAACCAUGCGUAUGUACAGAAACGCAUGAAUCCACAUACAAACAAACACUAUUGCCCGCUCUUGUGGCUAUAAAUAAGAAUGCGCUUGAUAGCCCACAGCUCAUCCUGCAACCAUUUAUCAUCCACAAGACUUACAUUCAAAACAUAACCUCCAAGUUGUCAUUUACAAUGUUAAAAUAUCUUGCUUUUAUGCCAUAACAAGAUUGUGAACCAAGUAAAUUCUACCCAAGGAAAGGAAGAAGUCCUUUCUUCAUGAAAUACACAACAAUUGCAAGUAAAAUUACGAAUAAAAUGAUCCACAAGCUUAAUCCUCCACUUUUGAUCUCCUCAACCGGUGUCACCCUUGCACUUGAGUCCAUGGACGCAGACACCAAAGCCCUUGAAUCAUGAGAGAACGCCAAUGCUGUUACCAUGCCAAGGUGUGCUUUCCUAACCACUGUUUGAACCUGCAUGCUGAUUGAAUUUAUAAUCAGCACGUCUCCUUGAACCGUACCCAUUGCUAGGAACUUUCCAUCAGGUGAGACACUGAAGGAAGAAACUGAAUCACGACUUAUAUUCUUUGAACCAAUUCUCUUCCAUGAGCUUGUGUCCCAUGUCUGAAUAUUUCCACCUUUGCCUGUUAUUGCAGCAAUGUAAAGAACCUGA